Molecule: non-coding RNA, 774 nt
Organism: Paramuricea clavata
Lineage: Eukaryota; Metazoa; Cnidaria; Anthozoa; Malacalcyonacea; Plexauridae
Source: the annotation of a GenBank genome assembly
GACAGCCUUGAUCGUCUUGGACACUAAAACAAUUGCGUGGGCAAUUGAGCAGUGAGACAAAGAUUAGAAGCAAACGGGAAGCUGAAGGGUCUAGCAAAGAGCAGUUAAAAAAAUUAAACACUAUUGUUUCUCAAUCUUACUAAACAAGACUUUCCAAGUAAAUUUAUCCACUGUUACUGAUUGGAAUUCCCACACAAUUUGGCUCAGAGUAAAGAUUGCUUAUUAUAUAUUCAAACAAACGUCAGUACUAUAUUAUACUCUUGAGGAAGUUAUAUAUCAGCAGGAGUUCGUUGACUCUGAAUGCUCGUCGCAACGACUACAAACAUAAAUAUGAAGGGCAUAAGUCUCGUCGUCAUUGGUGUCUUAUUGACAGCUGCUUCUUCGGUGAGUGAAUAAUCAUUACAAGUGUUUCGUUUCUACUGAUGUAUGUUUUUAUAUUGGCGGUUAUAUUUCAGUGUUCGCUUCGGUUUCUAGUCCAAUAUAUGUGCUCGAUACAAUUGUAAAUGCUAAUAGGAGCAGAAAGUCAUUCCGCGAUGUCCUUAGACCAGCAUUUGAAAUGUAGGUUUAUCCUCUACUGCUCUUUUCAAGCGGCAGCUUUACCCGGCUGCUUGUGUGCUGAAUUGACAAUAUUUGACUAUGUGACAAUGUCUAAUAGUACAUACCACUAUAGCUAUAGGUCAGUACUAGGUGUAAUUCCAUCAUGUUGUAUGCUCAGAAUCAGAGAAAUUUGGUCAAAUUCUGAUGAAUUGAAGAAGUUUAUGAGGGACUAGUCAU